UAUCUCUGUAGAGUCUGCAUAUCAAUAAGCGGAGGAAAAGAAACUAACUAAGGAUUCCCUCAGUAACGGCGAGUGAAGCGGGAAGAGCUCAAAUUUGAAAUCUUCAAGGUUUUACCUUGACGAAUUGUAGUUUAAAGAAGUGUUUUCUGUUGAAGUGUUUUGGUAAAAGUUCUUUGGAAUCGGACAUCAUAGAGGGUGAGAAUCCCGUAUUUGACCAUUACUUCCAGCGUUGUGAUACACUUUCAAAGAGUCGGAUUGUUUGGGAAUGCAGUCCAAAAUGGGUGGUAAAUUUCAUCUAAAGCUAAAUAUUGGCGAGAGACCGAUAGCGAACAAGUACCGUGAGGGAAAGAUGAAAAGAACUUUGAAAAGAGAGUUAAACAGUACGUGAAAUUGUCAAAAGGGAAGCGUUUGACACCAGUGUUGUUUUCUCGAAAAUCAAUUAAAAAUGGCUUGAUUUUGUGUUGUAUUGACCUUAAAAGCUUUCUUCACUUUUUUCAUGUCUUUUUUAAUGCACUUUUCGUUUAACAAGUCAACAUCAGUUUCUUUUGUUGUAAAAAGGUCAUUGGAAGGUGGCUUUCUUUUCGGAGAAAGUGUUUAUAGCCUUUGACUUCUGCAAUCGGAGAGACUGAGGUCUGCAGCGUAGAUCCUUCUGGAUUAGAUUCAUUUGUGCUAAGUUACAACCGUUUAUAGACAACUUGUUGACUAUAUUCGAUCCUGUAGCUUACUCGCUUAUGUAAUUUUACCUACGCUUAGGAUGUUGAUCUGUAGUGCGUGCGC
Molecule: ribosomal RNA, 777 nt
Filed under: uncultured Neocallimastigales
Lineage: Eukaryota; Fungi; Neocallimastigomycota; Neocallimastigomycetes; Neocallimastigales
Description: partial large subunit ribosomal RNA
Rfam family: Eukaryotic large subunit ribosomal RNA
Source: RNAcentral